CCUCCCCGCCGUUUGAGUAAUGGGGGGACGCAGUAGGAUAGGGUAAGCGCGCUGCUGGAUAUGCGCGUUCAAGCAGUUAGGCUGAUGAGUAGGCAAAUCCGCUCAUCAUGAAAGCUGAGCUGUGAUGACGAGGGAAUUAUAGUACCGAAGUUCCUGAUUCCACACUGCCAAGAAAAGCCUCUAGCGAGGCGGGAGGUGCCCGUACCGCAAACCGACACAGG
RNAcentral lists this ribosomal RNA (221 nucleotides) under Priestia megaterium. RNAcentral's name for it is "partial 23S ribosomal RNA". It matches the Rfam family "Bacterial large subunit ribosomal RNA", at positions 1447 to 1663 of the family's 2925-position model. The record is from RNAcentral. Lineage: Bacteria; Bacillati; Bacillota; Bacilli; Caryophanales; Bacillaceae.